This 371-nucleotide ribosomal RNA is filed under the name uncultured bacterium. RNAcentral's name for it is "bacterial SSU rRNA". It matches the Rfam family "Bacterial small subunit ribosomal RNA", at positions 527 to 896 of the family's 1533-position model. The record is from RNAcentral.
GAAGGGUGCAAGCGUUACUCGGAAUUACUGGGCGUAAAGCGUGCGUAGGCGGUUUGUUAAGUCUGUCGUGAAAGCCCCGGGCUCAACCUGGGAAUGGCGAUGGAUACUGGCGAGCUAGAGUACGGUAGAGGAGAGUGGAAUUCCCGGUGUAGCAGUGAAAUGCGUAGAGAUCGGGAGGAACAUCAGUUGCGAAGGCGGCUCUCUGGACCAGUACUGACGCUGAGGCACGAAAGCGUGGGGAGCAAACAGGAUUAGAUACCCUGGUAGUCCACGCCCUAAACGAUGCGAACUGGACGUUGGGAGCAAUUAGGCUCUCAGUGUCGAAGCUAACGCGUUAAGUUCGCCGCCUGGGGAGUACGGUCGCAAGACUG